CCUUUUGCAGCCCUCUAGCCCUUUCCAGGACGUUUUUAGAGGCAUUUUUGUGCCCAAAAGUUCAGGUCCCCAUUGACUUCAAUGGGGUUAGGGGUCAAGUUCGAUCCCGAACCCGGACUUUUUUUCAAAGUUCGGCCAGACCCGAACAUCCAGGUGUCUGCUCAACUCUAGUUAUGCUCAUGUGGUUUGAAGUACGUAGGCAAAACAUUUCGCCCCUUUAAGCUUUGCAUAAGAGAACACAUUAACUCCAACAAAUAUUACAAAGGUACAUUUCUCAGUAUGUACCGUUGGGAAAUAAAUAUAAAAG
Pelobates cultripes (western spadefoot toad) is the source of this 307-nucleotide non-coding RNA. The record is from the annotation of a GenBank genome assembly. Lineage: Eukaryota; Metazoa; Chordata; Amphibia; Anura; Pelobatidae.